AGGGUAAUGGCCUACCAAGGCGAAGACGGGUAGCUGGUCUGAGAGGAUGAUCAGCCACACUGGAACUGAGACACGGUCCAGACUCCUACGGGAGGCAGCAGUGGGGAAUCUUGCGCAAUGGGCGAAAGCCUGACGCAGCGACGCCGCGUGAGUGAUGAAGGCCUCGGUGUAAGCUCUGUGGAGGGGGACGGAAUAAAGGGCGUGGCUAACAUCCAGCUUGAUGACGGUACCUCUUUAGCAAGCACCGGCUAACUCUGUGCCAGCAGCCGCGGUAAGACAGAGGAUGCGAACGUUGCUCGGAUUUACUGGGCGUAAAGCGCGUGUAGGCGGUCUCGUUAGUCGGGUGUGAAAGCCCCGGGCUCAACCCGGGAAGUGCACCCGAUACUGCGAGACUGGGGUACUGAAGAGGAGAGCGGAAUUCCCGGUGUAGAGGUGAAAUUCGUAGAUAUCGGGAGGAACACCAGUGGCGAAGGCGGCUCUCUGGGGCAGAUACCG
Molecule: ribosomal RNA, 495 nt
Filed under: uncultured bacterium
Lineage: Bacteria
Description: bacterial SSU rRNA
Rfam family: Bacterial small subunit ribosomal RNA
Source: RNAcentral